Molecule: ribosomal RNA, 468 nt
Filed under: uncultured bacterium
Lineage: Bacteria
Description: partial 16S ribosomal RNA
Rfam family: Bacterial small subunit ribosomal RNA
Source: RNAcentral
GACGAACGCUGGCGGCGUGCUUAACACAUGCAAGUCGAACGGAAAGGCCCUGCUUUUGUGGGGUGCUCGAGUGGCGAACGGGUGAGUAACACGUGAGUAACCUGCCCUUGACUUUGGGAUAACUUCAGGAAACUGGGGCUAAUACAGGAUAGGAGCUACUGCUGCAUGGUGGGGGAUGGAAAGAUUCGGCGGUUGGAGAUGGACUCGCGGCUUAUCAGCUUGUUGGUGGGGUAGUGGCUUACCAAGGCUUUGACGGGUAGCCGGCCUGAGAGGGUGACCGGCCACAUUGGGACUGAGAUACGGACCAGACUCCUACGGGAGGCAGCAGUGGGGAAUAUUGCACAAUGGGCGGAAGCCUGAUGCAGCAACGCCGCGUGCGGGAUGACGGCCUUCGGGUUGUAAACCGCUUUCGCCUGUGACGAAGCGUGAGUGACGGUAAUUGGUAAAGAAGCACCGGCUAACUACGUG